RNAcentral lists this ribosomal RNA (1433 nucleotides) under Scinax albicans (Teresopolis snouted treefrog). Its description in RNAcentral is "partial 16S large subunit ribosomal RNA". It matches the Rfam family "Bacterial large subunit ribosomal RNA", at positions 133 to 2597 of the family's 2925-position model. Lineage: Eukaryota; Metazoa; Chordata; Amphibia; Anura; Hylidae. The record is from RNAcentral.
GCUAAAAGUCUAGCCCACCUAAACCUGAAUAAAAGAUACCUUCUUUUACUUUAUAAACUAAAACAUUUUAACAUCUUAGUAAAGGAGAUUGAAAAAUUAACCGGAGCAAUAAAAAUAGUACCGCAAGGGAAUGAUGAAAUAAAAAUGAAAUAAACCUUAAGCACAAAAAAGUAAAGAUUAACCCCUGUACCUUUUGCAUCAUGGUCUAACUAGUCUAAUCAAGCACAAAGAAUUAUAGUUUGACCCCCCGAAACUAAGUGAGCUACUUCAAGGCAGCUUUAUGAGCAAACCCGUCUCUGUUGCAAAAGAGUGGGAAGACCUUCAAGUAGGGGUGACAGACCUAACGAACUUAGUGAUAGCUGGUUACUCAAGAAAUGGAUUUUAGUCCAACCUAAAGCUUUUUCUAUCAAUAAAAAUUUACCUUGAACUUUAGAAUAAUUCAAAUAAGGUACAGCCUAUUUGAAACAGGAUACAACCUCAAUUGACGGGUAAUAGAUAAAUUUAUUUAACCAAGUGGGCUUAAAAGCAGCCACCUUUAGAAAAGCGUCAAAGCUUAAUUAAACACCCCAAUUAAUUUCUCUAAUCUUCUAUAACCCUCCCUAAUUAUUGAGUAAUUCUAUAUUUUUAUAGAACCUAUUAUGUUAAAACUAGUAACAAGAAGAAAACCCUUCUCUUAAAUGUGUGUGUAAAUCAGAAAGGAUAACCCACUGAUAAUUAACGUCUAUGAGUACAUUUUAGUAACUUUAACAAGAAAAUCCUAAUUUUUACCAACGUUAACCUAACACAAGAACAUUAUAAGAAAGAUUUAAAGAAAAAGAAGGAACUCGGCAAAUCUUAACCCCGCCUGUUUACCAAAAACAUCGCCUCUUGAAUAAAAUAAGAGGUCCAGCCUGCCCAGUGACCCAGUUCAACGGCCGCGGUAUUCUGACCGUGCGAAGGUAGCGUAAUCACUUGUUCUUUAAAUGAGGACUAGUAUGAAUGGCAUCACGAGGGUUACACUGUCUCCUUUUUCUAAUCAGUGAAACUAUUCUCCCCGUGAAGAAACGAGGAUACACAUAUAAGACGAGAAGACCCUAUGGAGCUUUAAAUUUUAUUUCAAUUGCUCUAUUACAUUAACCGGUCCAGACCCAUUACUUUAAACCAAGCAUUAUGAUAAUAAAUUUUAGGUUGGGGUGACCGCGGAGCACAAAAAAACCUCCGCAUUGAGCCAGGCCUUUAAGCCUUGUACAAAGAGCUACAACUCUAACAACUAAUAUAUUAACAUUAAUUGACCCAAUAUUUUUGAUCAAUGAACCAAGUUACCCUAGGGAUAACAGCGCAAUCUACUUUGAGAGCUCCUAUCGACAAGUGGGUUUACGACCUCGAUGUUGGAUCAGGGUGUCCCAGUGGUGCAGCCGCUACUAAAGGUUCGUUUGUUCAACGAUUAAAACCCU